CGCUUGUCCACGCUAGGGAUUACGAUAGCCGCACUUCUCUCCAUGUUGCCUCACUCCAUGGGUGGAUCGACGUUGCCAAGUGUUUGAUCGAGUUUGGCGCUGAUGUCAACGCCCAGGAUCGAUGGAAGAAUACGCCUUUGGCCGAUGCAGAAGGAGCAAAAAAGCACGCCAUGAUUGAGCUUUUAAAAUCAUAUGGUGGUUUGUCCUAUGGCCAAAAUGGAAGCCAUUUUGAACCAAAGCCUGUUCCACCACCCCUACCAAACAAGUGUGACUGGGAAAUUGACCCAUCUGAGCUUGAUUUUUCAAAUUCAGCAAUUAUUGGAAAGGGAUCAUUUGGGGAGAUUUUGAAAGCCUAUUGGCG
RNAcentral lists this unclassified non-coding RNA (361 nucleotides) under Hevea brasiliensis (rubber tree). Lineage: Eukaryota; Viridiplantae; Streptophyta; Magnoliopsida; Malpighiales; Euphorbiaceae. The record is from RNAcentral.